This 134-nucleotide ribosomal RNA is filed under the name uncultured Clostridium sp. Its description in RNAcentral is "partial 16S ribosomal RNA". It matches the Rfam family "Bacterial small subunit ribosomal RNA", at positions 356 to 507 of the family's 1533-position model. The record is from RNAcentral. Lineage: Bacteria; Bacillati; Bacillota; Clostridia; Eubacteriales; Clostridiaceae.
GGGGAAUAUUGCACAAUGGGGGAAACCCUGAUGCAGCAACGCCGCGUGAGUGAUGAAGGUCUUCGGAUCGUAAAACUCUGUCUUAUGGGACGAUAAUGACGGUACCAUAGGAGGAAGCCACGGCUAACUACGUG